GAUGAACGCUGGCGGCGUGCCUAAUACAUGCAAGUCGAGCGAACGGACGAGAAGCUUGCUUCUCUGAUGUUAGCGGCGGACGGGUGAGUAACACGUGGAUAACCUACCUAUAAGACUGGGAUAACUUCGGGAAACCGGAGCUAAUACCGGAUGAUAUUUUUAACCGCAUUGUUCAAACGUGAAAGACGGUCUUGCUGUCACUUAUAGAUGGAUCCGCGCUGCAUUAGCUAGUUGGUAAGGUAACGGCUUACCAAGGCAACGAUGCAUAGCCGACCUGAGAGGGUGAUCGGCCACACUGGAACUGAGACACGGUCCAGACUCCUACGGGAGGCAGCAGUAGGGAAUCUUCCGCAAUGGGCGAAAGCCUGACGGAGCAACGCCGCGUGAGUGAUGAAGGUCUUCGGAUCGUAAAACUCUGUUAUUAGGGAAGAACAUAUGUGUAAGUAACUGUGCACAUCUUGACGGUACCUAAUCAGAAAGCCACGGCUAACUACGUG
RNAcentral lists this ribosomal RNA (497 nucleotides) under uncultured bacterium. Its description in RNAcentral is "partial 16S ribosomal RNA". It matches the Rfam family "Bacterial small subunit ribosomal RNA", at positions 28 to 507 of the family's 1533-position model. The record is from RNAcentral.